RNAcentral lists this ribosomal RNA (370 nucleotides) under Clostridioides difficile. RNAcentral describes it as "bacterial SSU rRNA". It matches the Rfam family "Bacterial small subunit ribosomal RNA", at positions 363 to 751 of the family's 1533-position model. Lineage: Bacteria; Bacillati; Bacillota; Clostridia; Peptostreptococcales; Peptostreptococcaceae. The record is from RNAcentral.
AUUGCACAAUGGGCGAAAGCCUGAUGCAGCAACGCCGCGUGAGUGAUGAAGGCCUUCGGGUCGUAAAACCCUGUCCUCAAGGAAGAUAAUGACGGUACUUGAGGAGGAAGCCCCGGCUAACUACGUGCCAGCAGCCGCGGUAAUACGUAGGGGGCUAGCGUUAUCCGGAUUUACUGGGCGUAAAGGGUGCGUAGGCGGUCUUUCAAGUCAGGAGUGAAAGGCUACGGCUCAACCGUAGUAAGCUCUUGAAACUGGGAGACUUGAGUGCAGGAGAGGAGAGUGGAAUUCCUAGUGUAGCGGUGAAAUGCGUAGAUAUUAGGAGGAACACCAGUUGCGAAGGCGGCUCUCUGGACUGUAACUGACGCUGAGG